GAUGAACGCUAGCGAUAGGCUUAACACAUGCAAGUCGAGGGGCAGCACAAGGUAGCUUGCUAUCUGGGUGGCGACCGGCGCACGGGUGCGUAACGCGUAUGCAACUUGCCCUAUACAGGAGGAUAACCCGUCGAAAGACGGACUAAUACUGCGUAUGCUCACAACUUGGCAUCAAGUGGUGAGGAAAGAAAUUCGGUAUAGGAUAGGCAUGCGUCCCAUUAGCUUGUUGGUGAGGUAACGGCUCACCAAGGCAACGAUGGGUAGGGGAACUGAGAGGUUUAUCCCCCACACUGGUACUGAGACACGGACCAGACUCAUACGGGAGGCAGCAGUGAGGAAUAUUGGUCAAUGGGCGCGAGCCUGAACCAGCCAAGUCGCGUGAAGGAUGACUGUCUUAUGGAUUGUAAACUUCUUUUAUACGGGAAUAACAAGAGUCACGUGUGACUCCCUGCAUGUACCGUAUGAAUAAGCAUCGGCUAACUCCGUG
Molecule: ribosomal RNA, 487 nt
Filed under: uncultured bacterium
Lineage: Bacteria
Description: partial 16S ribosomal RNA
Rfam family: Bacterial small subunit ribosomal RNA
Source: RNAcentral